Molecule: ribosomal RNA, 460 nt
Filed under: uncultured bacterium
Lineage: Bacteria
Description: partial 16S ribosomal RNA
Rfam family: Bacterial small subunit ribosomal RNA
Source: RNAcentral
CCUACGGGCGGCAGCAGUGAGGAAUAUUGGUCAAUGGACGAGAGUCUGAACCAGCCAAGUAGCGUGAAGGAUGACUGCCCUAUGGGUUGUAAACUUCUUUUAUAUGGGAAUAAAAUGUUCCACGUGUGGGAUUUUGUAUGUACCAUAUGAAUAAGGAUCGGCUAACUCCGUGCCAGCAGCCGCGGUAAUACGGAGGAUCCGAGCGUUAUCCGGAUUUAUUGGGUUUAAAGGGAGCGUAGGUGGAUUGUUAAGUCAGUUGUGAAAGUUUGCGGCUCAACCGUAAAGUUGCAGUUGAAACUGGCAGUCUGGAGUACAGUAGAGGUGGGCGGAAUUCGUGGUGUAGCGGUGAAAUGCUUAGAUAUCACGAAGAACUCCGAUUGCGAAGGCAGCUCACUGGACUGCAACUGACACUGAGGCUCGAAAGUGUGGGUAUCAAACAGGAUUAGAUACCCCUGUAGUC